GCCGGUGUGGCGGAAUGGCAGACGCGGCGCACUCAAAAUGCGCUGUCCGUGAGGGCAUGUGGGUUCGAGUCCCACCACCGGUA
RNAcentral lists this transfer RNA (83 nucleotides) under Herbiconiux sp. RNAcentral's name for it is "tRNA-Leu". It matches the Rfam family "tRNA". From Rfam's summary of the family: Transfer RNA (tRNA) molecules are approximately 80 nucleotides in length. The record is from RNAcentral. Lineage: Bacteria; Bacillati; Actinomycetota; Actinomycetes; Micrococcales; Microbacteriaceae. RNAcentral also lists the same sequence under 1 other name.